Molecule: long non-coding RNA, 1714 nt
Organism: Oreochromis aureus
Lineage: Eukaryota; Metazoa; Chordata; Actinopteri; Cichliformes; Cichlidae
Source: Ensembl
UUCCUCGCCAGCUGCUGCCAAUCAUCCACCAUCGUUGGCAGAGCUAUUUAAUGGUGUGGCUGAGUGACAGACAGCCCUGGAGUAUUCCACCAAGCCUGGUAGUGACUCAAGCUCAGAGAAUGUAAGAUAGCGAAGGAAGUCUAAUCGCGUCUGUUUGCCUUUUUUGCACUAAACGAACGAGACGGAGAGACGGGAGGAGAGAUGUCACUAUUCACAAGAGUUGUGUGGACAUACGAGGGGAGCACUGAAGGGACUUUGCACUGUGGAUAACUGUGGAGUGGCUUCACUCUAAAUAAAGACACUGUUCAACUUUAACGAGAGGUCCGCGUCUGGGUUCACUAACUCACCACCCUUAACAGGAGGACUUGUAAGAAUGAAUGAUGCUGCGAAGCAUGAAAAUGCCAUUGGGUCUGCAGUGGUGGUUUACAGUCACGUCACAUGACAGCGUAACACCUAAACACAAGAGGGGGGAGGAGGAGCAAAGUCUGCCUGCUUUUCGCUGACACGGAAGCAGCGAAUCCGGCGACCUGGCUGUUUCGUCUUUGCCGAAUGCACAGCAUUGCAAACAAGAGCAGUGGCGCUAUCACUUGGUGUUCGCUCGCUCUCUGGUGAAGAGCCUGAGGCCGGUGACACUCCAGUUCUACUCUAAGUACAUCCUUACAGUGGCUCACAGGACAAGGCGACAUUCCUGUCCUGCCAGAAGAGAAACUUCAGAGUCUUCAUGAAGUUCAACCACACCUGUCAUAUUCCAUAUGACAGAGGUCUCAAACUCCAUUCCUCGAAGGUCGGUGUCAUGCAACUUUUCCAUGCCCUCGAGGACUGGAGUUUGAGACCCCUGCUGUAUGGUGUUCAUGCAGUUUUCUACCCCACAGUUACAGCAUGUCUGACUGCCUGUUCAGCAUAUGCAAAAAUAUAUGAUGAGUUUAAGCAUGUGAUGACUAAGGCCUUCCAUUAUGGUGUUUGUCAUCACAUGUCACAGACAUCUGGAUGAUCAUUUGGAAUAAACAAAAAAACAAAAAACUUGUUACUUCAUCUUUUAUCUUUAUUAUUAUUAUUGUUCUUAUUUUACAUUUUUCAUUGUUAGGCAUUGGGUUUAUUUGUAGUGGUCCUUUCCAGCUUCUUUCCCUCUUCCAUGUUACUGUGUCAGCUUGUCAGCAUCUAUUUGGGGUUGGGAGUGGAACAGGAAGUAAGGAACAAAGUGCCAUUUAAACCAGGAGAGGUUCUUAUAUUUCAGAAGAAGGGAUUAAUUCAAAAGAAAUGACCUCAAUGCCAUAUUUUAUUUAGGAACCCUAGAGAGCACUUUGCAAAAUAACACAUUCUUAUAAUUUCACCCUCAGAUGAGCCAAGCUAUGACUGUCAGGGAAGGUGAUGUAGGUACAGAGCGUGUGAGAGUGGUUAAGUUAAUGUCUCUUGUCUAGAUGAAGGCACAGGAGGGAUCAAUGGCACGGCGUAGAGAUUCAGUAUCUUCAGUCUUCAGUGGACACUCCAUUUCUGGCACAAAACACCUGUAAAAGAUGGUCGAUUUAGGAGGUGACCCGACAACUUCAGCCUGUCAAACAUAGCAAUGGAGCAGUAUGUUUAAAAAAAAAAAAAAAUUAAUUAAGCAUGCACUCAGUACCCUAAGAAUUAUUAUGAUAGUUAAACACAGUGAUAGUCACAUAUCAUAUCACUUCAAACGGAGGUGAUCCAGUAAUGCUGCACUAAUGAAUUAGAC